Salvelinus namaycush (lake trout) is the source of this 425-nucleotide long non-coding RNA. RefSeq lists it as uncharacterized. The transcript is spliced from 3 exons. Lineage: Eukaryota; Metazoa; Chordata; Actinopteri; Salmoniformes; Salmonidae. The record is from RefSeq and is a predicted model, not a curated record.
CGACGACCUCCGAGCGCUGCCCGAACAGGAAGAGGAGCCACCUUCGGUGGGAGUCGUGACACAGGGGCUCUAUUUAUAUUGGUCUCCUUUUACUUCAUAUUGGCUGGAUAAACAUGAUGGACAGGAGGCUGAUCCAAUAGGACAAAUUGGAGAUGAACAGCACGAUUCCUCUUUACAGCACGACCCUGCAUAUGUACAGGUUGUGUCUGAUGGUGGUGAUGUUGGCUGUCCUCACUGCUCCCAUCACAACUCAAAAACCUGCUCUAGAUGACUUUUCAGUGUCAGUCCCUGAUGCUCCAAUCACGGCAUGGUCAGGCUCCUCUGUCUCUCUACCUGUCAUGAUCGUGUGGGGGAUUGACGGACCAAAACGCAGCAUUUGGAAAAUAAGCCAUCUUCCUUUUAUUUUUGAAGAAGGAAAAAUGAAA